Non-coding RNA from Gasterosteus aculeatus aculeatus (three-spined stickleback), 2600 nucleotides. The record is from RefSeq and is a predicted model, not a curated record. NCBI's taxonomy places the organism in Eukaryota, Metazoa, Chordata, Actinopteri, Perciformes, Gasterosteidae.
AACUAGUUAUUGUGACAAUAACAGUACGAAAGAGCAGCAUACAAGCAGUUUGGCUGUCUAGAAUCGUUCCUCGUAUCCUGCAGUACCUGCAGAGGAGAGCGGAGACUCACCUCCAUACAGCCCUUAUUUCACCCGAGUGAGGCUCGCUAAUAUUCUGAUGAACCAGGCCAAACAACUCCUGUUUUUUUACAGCAAUCCACAGCCCGAUGACAGCUGCGGCUCAUAAUGGGUACUUUGCAAGGCGGCCGUGUGCUCGCUCUAACAGACCAUUGGGGGGGGAGAGAUCACAGGGAUGCGUGCUGGCAGGAACUAGAGACGGGCCUAACCGAGGAUUUGAAUAACAGAAAAACAUGCUGCGGGUGAUGUCACCGUAACCUCAAGAUUAUACUGAAAAGAGGAUGACUGGGUGUUUCUAUUAAAAGGUCUUGUGUGAUCUGAUCUAGCCCUUUCAACAAUGCCAGGGAGUCCUAUUAAUAAGUGGGUCAAUGGCGCUAUUUUUAGUAGCCAUUGAGCACCGCUUUCUACAAACAAGCAAAGGCACAAAUUCUGAAUGAAACGUCCCCCGGCUACGCUGAACAAAUAUUCUGGGGAAAUGAAGGCAUUCGGCUUGCCGGUAAAUGGGGUGAACUAUUUAUCUGGUUUCAAAGUUCACCUUCCUCUGGAGAUAAAAAGCUGCGUGAGGGCAUGAAAUGACUGAGGCUGGGGCGUGGGGGGGAUUGUGCUUCGCCUCCUGGAUUGGCUUUGAUAAACUGGGGACUUUUAAGAUUUGUAGGGCUCUCUGUUCUAAAGUGGGCUCCUGUUUCAUCAUCUCCCCGUCCCGGGAACCUCGCGUGGCUACCUUGUUGUAAUUCCUCCUCAUUUUCUGGGUUUUCUCUCUCAUUUUGCCUUUGAUUCCCAGAGAAAGCAGUUGAAACGUGUUCGCUGCCUUCUCCUCCGUCAGAAGUGACACUGUGGGCGAUGAUGUGACGGAGGCGUACCAGAGACAACAUCCUCACAUUGCACCUCAUGCCGGAUUAAUGUUCCACAAUUGCACACAAAAGUUUGGCAACUAAACAACGCCUAAAGUGGCACAUGUAGAAACGGAGCUGUGCAGGAAAAACCCAUUUAAUCAGCAAGGAAGGGAAUGAACAAUAAAAAGUAAAUUAGGCAGGAUUCAGGAUUAUUCACUGUUAAUGACGGCGGGAGAUGCAGCGAAAUGCUGCACAUCUCUGCAAUCAAGCUAAAUAAAUCACAUGAGGCUGCGCACUGCCCCAACAAGCGGAGACAGAGAAUGUCAGUGGAGCAGAACGAGAUUUUGCGGCAGAGCAGAAAAUGCACUGUAUUCCUACAGGCAUUGCAUGACAAAUCUCUGGAUUUCUACUAAACAGAGGUGGAGCAUUGUCUGCAGGAAUUCCUGAAUGGCUGUUUCACCUCAGGCCCACCGCAGGCAAACUAAACAAAAGCACACCACGGCUCCUUUUGGCAUUCAACACUCAAGUUUUUACCUUAAGAUCUGGUGAAAAAUGUCAAUGAUGCUUAAAGGAAGCGUUGGCACUUUGCGUGGCGGGCUUUUGCAGGAGUGACUGUACGCUCCCCAAGCAGUUUGCUGACAUGCUGGUGACCCCUCAGCACCUGGAAGUGGGGGAGGGAACCGUGUAAAGCUCUUGGUUACCUUGAGGGAGAUCCGUGUAGCACCAGUUUGUGAGCAAAACCCUCUGCGUUACAAAACCUGCACUCCACCGGGUCAUGGUUGCAGAGGUUGUAUGUUUCAGGGAACCGUCUCACCUCGAGGGAAACGCCUGUGAUGUUUCGUUCAGCAAACCCUCAGAAUUCAGUCUGUAGAAGCCUAAACCCUAAAUAUUUCAAAUCGAGUUUGUCCAGGUUACGUAAUAUCAAAUGAGCACGACAGGACACCGAUGAGGCCCAAAAUAAACUGCCUUGCUCAAAGGCAGCAGUUAAGAAUAAAUGUGUUUCUUGCCACGCUUAAUUCAUCAGCUCUGAUUUGGCUUUCAUCCUCCUCCUGUUAGCGCAACAUACCGAAGCAGUCAUUUUCUGGCUACUUUUCAGUGGCACUCGGAGCUCAAGGCCAAAGUGCCCCUCGGAUGAGUCAGGGAAACAUCACAAUUUGCAACAAAUUAUGCGACGUCUGAUCGGUGUGAGUGAUCUUCUAUUGUGCGGUCCGGCCGAGUGGAAGCAGCAUCAGUGUGUCCGCGGUGACAGCUUGGAUGGGUAACGACGUCUGCCAGGAGGGCUUGUCUUCUCUACUGUCAGAGGUUGUUUGCUAUUAAGCAAGACGCAUACGGCGAGUCAAUAUAUGUUACACAUGUUGUAAUCACAUGUGUAGAACAUGGAUUUGCUCCCCUCUGGUCCCCUCUUGCCCUGCUGCUGUUGUCGCGUCAUCGCUGGAACAACACUGCCCCUUGGUGGCCGACUCGUCUCGCUCCCUGGACUAAACUCUGUCUCUGAUAUUUGAACUACAACUGAACUUAUAAGACUCACUCCAGGACCCGCGAGGGGAAACAACGCUUGAUGAAGGAAUCUGCAACUGCUUGUAUCGCCUCCCCUCCCGUUCUGCUGCUAUGAUUUAGUAUCAUGCGAAUAAAAACAUACCGUACGGACAA